RNAcentral lists this ribosomal RNA (324 nucleotides) under Euglyphida sp. Its description in RNAcentral is "SSU rRNA". The stretch from base 60 to 324 matches the Rfam family "Eukaryotic small subunit ribosomal RNA", at positions 690 to 955 of the family's 1831-position model. The record is from RNAcentral. Lineage: Eukaryota; Cercozoa; Imbricatea; Euglyphida.
GAUUUCUGGUAGAUCAUUCUGGCCCGCGUCUUUCGGGACGUGAGAGCUGGCGUGUUUUUACCAUCCUUCUAGGAUGCUAUAUCUACUCUUUACUGAGCUGGGUAUAUGUGUUCUAGAUCGUUUACUUUGAAAAAAUUAGAGUGUUUAAAGCAGGCUGACGCUGUGAAUACAUUAGCAUGGAAUAAUAAUAUAGGACUUCGGUCUUUAUUUUGUUGGUUUUGGGGGCUGAAGUAAUGAUUGAUAGGGAUAGUUGGGGGUGCUAGUAUUCAGCGGCCAGAGGUGAAAUUCUCGGAUUCGCUGAAGACUAACUUAUGCGAAAGCAUU